This 480-nucleotide ribosomal RNA is filed under the name uncultured bacterium. RNAcentral's name for it is "partial 16S ribosomal RNA". It matches the Rfam family "Bacterial small subunit ribosomal RNA", at positions 28 to 523 of the family's 1533-position model. The record is from RNAcentral.
GAUGAACGCUGGCGGCGUGCCUAACACAUGCAAGUCGAGCGAUGAAGUUUCCUUCGGGAAACGGAUUAGCGGCGGACGGGUGAGUAACACGUGGGUAACCUGCCUCAUAAUGGGGGAUAGCCUUUCGAAAGGAAGAUUAAUACCGCAUAACAUCAUUAAAUGGCAUCAUUUAAUGAUCAAAGGAUUUAUUCGUUAUGAGAUGGACCCGCGUCGCAUUAGCUAGUUGGUAAGGUAAUGGCUUACCAAGGCGACGAUGCGUAGCCGACCUGAGAGGGUGAUCGGCCACAUUGGGACUGAGACACGGCCCAGACUCCUACGGGAGGCAGCAGUGGGGAAUAUUGCACAAUGGGGGAAACCCUGAUGCAGCAACGCCGCGUGAGUGAUGACGGUCUUCGGAUUGUAAAGCUCUGUCUUUGGGGACGAUAAUGACGGUACCCAAGGAGGAAGCCACGGCUAACUACGUGCCAGCCGCCGCGGUAA